RNAcentral lists this long non-coding RNA (495 nucleotides) under Mytilus galloprovincialis (Mediterranean mussel). Lineage: Eukaryota; Metazoa; Mollusca; Bivalvia; Mytilida; Mytilidae. The record is from RNAcentral.
CUGGAGCUGGCAUGUCAGUGAACUGCUAGUAGUCUGUUGUUAUUUAUGUAUUAUUGUCAUUUUGUUUAUUUUCUUUGGUUACAUCUUCUGACAUCAGACUCGGACUUCUCUUGAACUGAAUUUUAAUGUGCGUAUUGUUAUGCGUUUACUUUUCUACAUUGGCUAGAGGUAAAGGGGGAGGGUUGAGAUCUCACAAACAUGUUUAACCCCGCCGCAUUUUUGUGCCUGUCCCAAGUCAGGAGCCUCUGGCCUUUGUUAGUCUUGUAUUAUUUUAAUUUUAGUUUCUUGUGUACAAUUUGGAAAUUAGUAUGGCGUUCAUUAUCCCAGAACUAGUAUAUAUUUGUUUAGGGGCCAGCUGAAGGACGCCUCCGGGUGCGGGAAUUUUUCGCUACAUUGAAGACCUGUUGGUGACCUUCUGCUGUUGUUUUUUUUUCUAUGGUCGGGUUGUUGUCUCUUUGGCACAUUCCCCAUUUCCAUUCUCAAUUUUAUACUGUA